AGGGAUGACGGCCUUCGGGUUGUAAACCUCUUUCAGUAGGGAAGAAGCGAAAGUGACGGUACCUGCAGAAGAAGCGCCGGCUAACUACGUGCCAGCAGCCGCGGUAAUACGUAGGGCGCAAGCGUUAUCCGGAAUUAUUGGGCGUAAAGAGCUCGUAGGCGGUUUGUCGCGUCUGCUGUGAAAGACCGGGGCUCAACUCCGGUUCUGCAGUGGGUACGGGCAGACUAGAGUGAUGUAGGGGAGACUGGAAUUCCUGGUGUAGCGGUGAAAUGCGCAGAUAUCAGGAGGAACACCGAUGGCGAAGGCAGGUCUCUGGGCAUUAACUGACGCUGAGGAGCGAAAGCAUGGGGAGCGAACAGGAUUAGAUACCCCUGGU
Molecule: ribosomal RNA, 376 nt
Filed under: Arthrobacter sp. 2.13ST-Ba
Lineage: Bacteria; Bacillati; Actinomycetota; Actinomycetes; Micrococcales; Micrococcaceae
Description: bacterial SSU rRNA
Rfam family: Bacterial small subunit ribosomal RNA
Source: RNAcentral